UGGGGAAUCAUGGUCAAUGGGCGAAAGCCUGAACCUGCGACGCCGCGUGAGUGAUGAAGGUCGUAAGAUCGUAAAACUCUUUUCAGGGAUCUUAAAGCCUGUCUGUCAACAACAGGCAGGUCUGACUCUCCCUGGAAGAAGCCCCAGCCAACUACGUGCCAGCAGCCGCGGUAAUACGUAGGGGGCGAGCGUUAUUCGGAAUUACUGGGUGUAAAGGGGAUGUAGGCGGCCCGUCAAGUCGCGUGUCAAAGUCCAGGGCUCAACGCUGGG
RNAcentral lists this ribosomal RNA (270 nucleotides) under uncultured prokaryote. RNAcentral describes it as "partial 16S ribosomal RNA". It matches the Rfam family "Bacterial small subunit ribosomal RNA", at positions 355 to 619 of the family's 1533-position model. The record is from RNAcentral.